UACAGCAUCAGUAGCUCUCUGAUAGUUCAAGUCGGUGUGAUUGAUCUGGACUACAGCUGCACCAUCAGCGCUGGCAGAAACAAGAGGAGAGCAACUUUGUUUAAACCAGCUUCCAUCAAUAUUUCAGACACUAAAAGCACAAUCCCCUGCACUUCUUCAAACACUCACUUUAAAAGCCUCAUUUGGACAUUCAACCACAAUCAAAACAUCCUGAUCCAGACCUCCGCCGAAGUCCCCUUUAAAGUUUCAGAGGAGUGGAGGAAGCACGUGAAGGAUGUGUCUGAGUCAGGAAGCCUCGUGUUACAAGACUUAACAUCACUUCAGGAGGGAAUAUACACAUGUGAACUUAGUACUGCUGAAGAGACUCAUGAAAGGAGCACAGCGUUGAGGAUAGAAGAAAGUCAAAGCACUCCUACUGUUGCAGGAAUUACAGUUGGGGUUAUAUUCCUUUUGGUUGUAUUAGCCAUUUGCAUCUUCGUCAUAUAUAAGUGGUGUAAAAAGAAAAGUGAAGGUGGUGAAAACAACAGAGAACCAGAAGCUGAAAUCCCAUUAAAGUAAAAUGGUGAACGAAAAACUAAUACAUUUCUAGACCGUGGAACAACAACAGUCAGCCAUGAUGAAGAACAAGACCACAGUUGAUGAAUGUACGCAAAUAUUUAUUAGAGUAAG
Non-coding RNA from Labrus bergylta (ballan wrasse), 669 nucleotides. The record is from RefSeq and is a predicted model, not a curated record. NCBI's taxonomy places the organism in Eukaryota, Metazoa, Chordata, Actinopteri, Labriformes, Labridae.